This 2929-nucleotide ribosomal RNA is filed under the name Proteus mirabilis. RNAcentral describes it as "bacterial LSU rRNA". It matches the Rfam family "Bacterial large subunit ribosomal RNA". Lineage: Bacteria; Pseudomonadati; Pseudomonadota; Gammaproteobacteria; Enterobacterales; Morganellaceae. The record is from RNAcentral.
GGGUUGUGAGGUUAAGCGAAUAAGCGUACACGGUGGAUGCCUAGGCAAUCAGAGGCGAUGAAGGACGUGCUAAUCUGCGAAAAGCGUCGGUAAGGUGAUAUGAACCGCUAUACCCGACGAUAUCCGAAUGGGGAAACCCAGUAUCCAAUGGAUACUAUCAUUAACUGAAUCCAUAGGUUAAUGAGGCGAACCGGGAGAACUGAAACAUCUCAGUACCCGAGGAAAAGAAAUCAACCGAGAUUCCCCUAGUAGCGGCGAGCGAACGGGGAGCAGCCCAGAGUCUUAAUCAAUAGCAGUGUCAGGAGAACGGUCUGGAAAGUCCGGCAGUAAAGGGUGAUAGCCCCGUAUCUGAAGAUGCUGUUAUUGUGAACUCGACGAGUAGGGCGGGACACGUGUUAUCCUGUCUGAAUAUGGGGGGACCAUCCUCCAAGGCUAAAUACUCCUGAUUGACCGAUAGUGAACCAGUACCGUGAGGGAAAGGCGAAAAGAACCCCGGCGAGGGGAGUGAAAAAGAACCUGAAACCGUGUACGUACAAGCAGUAGGAGCCUCUUUAUGGGGUGACUGCGUACCUUUUGUAUAAUGGGUCAGCGACUUAUAUUCUGUAGCAAGGUUAACCGUAUAGGGGAGCCGUAGGGAAACCGAGUCUUAACUGGGCGAAUGAGUUGCAGGGUAUAGACCCGAAACCCGGUGAUCUAUCCAUGGGCAGGUUGAAGGUUGGGUAACACUAACUGGAGGACCGAACCGACUAAUGUUGAAAAAUUAGCGGAUGACUUGUGGAUGGGGGUGAAAGGCCAAUCAAACCGGGAGAUAGCUGGUUCUCCCCGAAAGCUAUUUAGGUAGCGCCUCGUGAACUCAUCUUCGGGGGUAGAGCACUGUUUCGACUAGGGGGUCAUCCCGACUUACCAACUCGAUGCAAACUGCGAAUACCGAAGAAUGUUAUCACGGGAGACACACGGCGGGUGCUAACGUCCGUCGUGAAGAGGGAAACAACCCAGACCGCCAGCUAAGGUCCCAAAGUCAUGGUUAAGUGGGAAACGAAGUGGGAAGGCUCAGACAGCCAGGAUGUUGGCUUAGAAGCAGCCAUCAUUUAAAGAAAGCGUAAUAGCUCACUGGUCGAGUCGGCCCGCGCGGAAGAUGUAACGGGGCUAAACCAUGCACCGAAGCUGCGGCAGCGACACAAAGUGUUGUUGGGUAGGGGAGCGUUCUGUAAGCCUGCGAAGGUGUACUGUGAGGUAUGCUGGAGGUAUCAGAAGUGCGAAUGCUGACAUAAGUAACGAUAAUGCGGGUGAAAAACCCGCACGCCGGAAGACCAAGGGUUCCUGUCCAACGUUAAUCGGGGCAGGGUGAGUCGACCCCUAAGGCGAGGCUGAAAAGCGUAGUCGAUGGGAAACGGGUUAAUAUUCCCGUACUGGUGGUAACUGCGAUGGGGGAACGGAGAAGGCUAGGUUGUCCGGGCGACGGUCGUCCCGGUUCAAGCAGGUAGGCAGAGUGAUUAGGCAAAUCCGGUCACUUAAUGCUGAGAUGUGAUGACGAACCACCAAGGUGGUGAAGCAAUUGAUGCCCCGCUUCCAGGAAAAGCCUCUAAGCUUCAGGUUACCAACAAUCGUACCCCAAACCGACACAGGUGGUCAGGUAGAGAAUACUCAGGCGCUUGAGAGAACUCGGGUGAAGGAACUAGGCAAAAUGGUGCCGUAACUUCGGGAGAAGGCACGCUGGCGGUAGGUAAAGUCCCUCGCGGACGGCGCCCAAGCCAGUCGAAGAUACCAGCUGGCUGCAACUGUUUAUUAAAAACACAGCACUGUGCAAACACGAAAGUGGACGUAUACGGUGUGACGCCUGCCCGGUGCUGGAAGGUUAAUUGAUGGGGUUAGCGUAAGCGAAGCUCCUGAUCGAAGCCCCAGUAAACGGCGGCCGUAACUAUAACGGUCCUAAGGUAGCGAAAUUCCUUGUCGGGUAAGUUCCGACCUGCACGAAUGGCGUAAUGAUGGCCAGGCUGUCUCCACCCGAGACUCAGUGAAAUUGAACUCGCUGUGAAGAUGCAGUGUACCCGCGGCAAGACGGAAAGACCCCGUGAACCUUUACUAUAGCUUGACACUGAACAUUGAGCCUUGAUGUGUAGGAUAGGUGGGAGGCUUUGAAGUGUGGACGCCAGUCUGCAUGGAGCCAACCUUGAAAUACCACCCUUUAACGUUUGAUGUUCUAACCUAGGCCCAUAAACUGGGUCGGGGACCGUGUCUGGUGGGUAGUUUGACUGGGGCGGUCUCCUCCUAAAGAGUAACGGAGGAGCACGAAGGUUGGCUAAGCAUGGUCGGACAUCAUGCGGUUAGUGCAAAGGCAUAAGCCAGCUUGACUGCGAGAGUGACGGCUCGAGCAGGUACGAAAGUAGGUCUUAGUGAUCCGGUGGUUCUGAAUGGAAGGGCCAUCGCUCAACGGAUAAAAGGUACUCCGGGGAUAACAGGCUGAUACCGCCCAAGAGUUCAUAUCGACGGCGGUGUUUGGCACCUCGAUGUCGGCUCAUCACAUCCUGGGGCUGAAGUAGGUCCCAAGGGUAUGGCUGUUCGCCAUUUAAAGUGGUACGCGAGCUGGGUUUAGAACGUCGUGAGACAGUUCGGUCCCUAUCUGCCGUGGGCGUUGGAAGAUUGAGAGGGGUUGCUCCUAGUACGAGAGGACCGGAGUGAACGCACCACUGGUGUUCGGGUUGUCAUGCCAAUGGCAUUGCCCGGUAGCUAAGUGCGGAAGAGAUAACCGCUGAAAGCAUCUAAGCGGGAAACUUGCCUCGAGAUGAGUCUUCCCUGUCGCUUUAAGCGACCUAAAGGAACGUUUAAGACUAAGACGUUGAUAGGCUGGGUGUGUAAGCGUAGCGAUACGUUGAGCUAACCAGUACUAAUGAACCGUGAGGCUUAACCUGACAACACCGAAAGUGUUUUG